GUACAUUAGUGCUUGCGCACGACAAUAGUUCUCAUUACAUUCGAGUGUGUUAUAAAAAUCCUCUGCCAGCCGAAGCUAGCAAGAGGCCAAAGGUUCACAUGGGUAUUGGAUGAAAGCCAUCUACGUGCACUUGCCAGAGUGACCCGGCCAGCACUGCAGACAACCAUUCGCAAUCAAUAAUGAUCCUUCCGCAGGUUCACCUACGGAAA
Molecule: unclassified non-coding RNA, 209 nt
Filed under: uncultured fungus
Lineage: Eukaryota; Fungi
Description: sequence contains ITS1
Source: RNAcentral